Molecule: ribosomal RNA, 225 nt
Filed under: uncultured bacterium
Lineage: Bacteria
Description: partial 16S ribosomal RNA
Rfam family: Bacterial small subunit ribosomal RNA
Source: RNAcentral
GAUCAUGGCUCAGGAUGAACGCUAGCUACAGGCUUAACACAUGCAAGUCGAGGGGCAACAUGGUCUUAGCUUGCUAAGGCCGAUGGCGACCGGCGCACGGGUGAGUAACACGUAUCCAACCUGCCGUCUACUCUUGGACAGCCUUCUGAAAGGAAGAUUAAUACAAGAUGGCAUCAUGAGUUCACAUGUUCACAUGAUUAGAGGUAUUCCGGUAGACGAUGGGGA